Molecule: long non-coding RNA, 572 nt
Filed under: Neodiprion pinetum (white pine sawfly)
Lineage: Eukaryota; Metazoa; Arthropoda; Insecta; Hymenoptera; Diprionidae
Description: uncharacterized LOC124218931, transcript variant X2
Source: RNAcentral
GAGGUGGACGAGGAGGACGAGGAUUUGUGCUCGUAUUUGACAACGGUGAUACCUUAUCACAUGGACAGUGGCCCACCUGAUAAUCAAGCUUUACAAGUCCUCAUUAAGAUAUUAAAGGCUAUUAUUGAGGAUAGUCCAACAGUGCCCACAUUAUUAACGGACUACAUAUUGAAAGUUCUGUGCCCCACCUAGUGAUCCAUAUCCUCCAACGUGACAUCUCUGUGCUACGUAUAAAGAAGAAAAGAUUUAUUAAGAUGCAAAUUGCUCCUCUCUUCUUGCCAUUGUGCUUUCAGCCAUUGUUGCGCUGUGUGUUUGAAAUUUAGGACAGUAUAUAAUAUAGAGUAACAGGUACAGCUACGAAUAUAGCACUACAAUAAAUCUUAUAGAAAUGAGCUCUCAUUGAGAUUUCUCUGUACUUAUAAUUCGACACGAGAAGGCAAAAAUCAAUGUAAUGCCAUCUGUAAGGUGAUUUGACUCGUAUUUGCACUACGAGAACUCGUUGGGCAUUUUGCGGUGAAACUUAAAAAAUUGUUGUACAAGAAAUUAAAUAACUAUAAAAAUGGAUAAAAAAU